Jatropha curcas is the source of this 582-nucleotide non-coding RNA. The record is from RefSeq and is a predicted model, not a curated record. Lineage: Eukaryota; Viridiplantae; Streptophyta; Magnoliopsida; Malpighiales; Euphorbiaceae.
CCCAAUCUCCAUCUCCACCCCACUUCUCUUUUCUCUUCCGCGCGUCGUUCCGUUUCGACCGCCGCUUGUUCAUCGUCACUACUUCCUGUUGAUAUGGGAAUUAGAGACAUGAAUGCUAUUCUAACCAAGGGUUCAAAGGUGCUUCUUAAGGGAAUGAAUUACACUGAGCUUGAAAAAUGGGUUCAAUCUCAUGGAUUCAGACCUGGUCAAGCUAUGAUGCUGUGGUAGCGUAUUUAUGGGGAAAAUAUUUGGGCGCAUUAUGUUGAUGAACUAGAACUAGAAGGGGAAAUGUGAAGGCAGUGCAUAAUGUUUUCACCUUGACCAUAGCAAGUUUAAUUGGCCUCAUUCAAAUCAAGUCUUUGGUUGAUACAGACACACACUUUAUAUUAACAAUCUUUCUUCUUGCUCUAUUCACAUAUGGGUUUGGAAUUAUCUUUCAAGCUUGGAACUCCUUCAAUUCAAUUAUUAGCAAAGUUGGCUUAUUUGCUCUUGGAUUGGCCAUAGUUGCACUUUUAUUUAUCGUUGUCCCAAUUUUUGGUUGGAUUAUUUUAAUUUUAUGGGCCUCUUUGUUCGCUAAAGUAA